Molecule: ribosomal RNA, 402 nt
Filed under: uncultured bacterium
Lineage: Bacteria
Description: bacterial SSU rRNA
Rfam family: Bacterial small subunit ribosomal RNA
Source: RNAcentral
UUGGGAAUCUUGGACAAUGGGGGAAACCCUGAUCCAGCCAUGCCGCGUGAGUGAUGAAGGCCUUCGGGUUGUAAAACUCUUUCGGCGGGGACGAUAAUGACGGUACCCGCAGAAGAAGCUCCGGCUAACUUCGUGCCAGCAGCCGCGGUAAUACGAAGGGGGCUAGCGUUGUUCGGAAUUACUGGGCGUAAAGCGCGCGCAGGCGGCUAUCCAAGUCAGUGGUGAAAGCCCGGAGCUCAACUCCGGAACUGCCAUUGAAACUGUUUAGCUUGAGGACGAGAGAGGUGAGUGGAAUUCCCAGUGUAGAGGUGAAAUUCGUAGAUAUUGGGAAGAACACCGGUGGCGAAGGCGGCUCACUGGCUCGUUUCUGACGCUCAGGCGCGAUAGCGUGGGGAUCAAACA